UGUUGGUUGCUUUUGGUCUUAUAAACAGUGU
RNAcentral lists this non-coding RNA (31 nucleotides) under Mus musculus (house mouse). Lineage: Eukaryota; Metazoa; Chordata; Mammalia; Rodentia; Muridae. The record is from RNAcentral.